CGUUCCCGGGCCUUGUACACACCGCCCGUCACACCACGAAAGUCGGCAAUACCCGAAGCCGGUGGCCUAACCCGCAAGGAGGGAGCCGUCGAAGGUAGGGUCGAUGAUUGGGGUG
This 115-nucleotide ribosomal RNA is filed under the name uncultured bacterium. RNAcentral describes it as "partial 16S ribosomal RNA". It matches the Rfam family "Bacterial small subunit ribosomal RNA", at positions 1369 to 1482 of the family's 1533-position model. The record is from RNAcentral.